GAUGAACGCUGGCGGCGUGCUUAACACAUGCAAGUCGAACGGUGAACACGGAGCUUGCUCUGUGGGAUCAGUGGCGAACGGGUGAGUAACACGUGAGCAACCUGCCCCUGACUCUGGGAUAAGCGCUGGAAACGGCGUCUAAUACUGGAUAUGUGACGUGACCGCAUGGUCUGCGUUUGGAAAGAUUUUUCGGUUGGGGAUGGGCUCGCGGCCUAUCAGCUUGUUGGUGAGGUAAUGGCUCACCAAGGCGUCGACGGGUAGCCGGCCUGAGAGGGUGACCGGGCACGCGGGGAGCAGAAAACGGCCCCGGCCCCGUCCGGGAGGAAGGGGGGGGGAAUGUUGAAAGAGGGGCGAAGGCCUGAGGCAGCACCGCCGGGGGGGGGAGGCCGGCCUGCGGUUGUAAAACCUGUUUAGGCAGGGAAGAAGGAAAGGUGGCGGUCCCUGAAAAAAAAGCCCCGUCAAACUACGGG
RNAcentral lists this ribosomal RNA (470 nucleotides) under uncultured bacterium. Its description in RNAcentral is "partial 16S ribosomal RNA". It matches the Rfam family "Bacterial small subunit ribosomal RNA", at positions 28 to 507 of the family's 1533-position model. The record is from RNAcentral.